Ostrea edulis (European flat oyster) is the source of this 1649-nucleotide long non-coding RNA. RefSeq lists it as uncharacterized. The transcript has 2 exons. The record is from RefSeq and is a predicted model, not a curated record. NCBI's taxonomy places the organism in Eukaryota, Metazoa, Mollusca, Bivalvia, Ostreida, Ostreidae.
CUGUAACACGAAUACUAAAUAAGCCCUCAUAAGUAAAUGUGCACUGAGACAAGGCUGUAAAAACUAGUUUAUGAACAAGUGAAGUGACGGAUAGUGAUCAAUUUCAUAAAUCUAUAUUUGAUACAAAAUCAUUCUUCCGCUUGAAACCAUCCAUAUGAAACGCACAAAACAACAUCCUAUUCCUACACAGGAAAUUCACAUGUACUUUAAUCUAAGCUGGAGUACCACGAGUGAGAAUAAAUAGUCCGGAUAUGAAAUAUCAUAAUGUACACAGCCUCCUUAUGGUUUAAAGAGAAGAACCCACAGUGCUGUAAAGAAAAGUAAUUCAGUGUACUAUAUGGCGUCACAAUGAAACAGUGUUUCAUGACACAAGUCCAGCGUUGUAUCGCUGGGAAAAUGUCAUACAUGUAUUUUACUGUCAUCACAUGCUAUAAAUCUGUUUGUAAAAUCGUUAUUUUGUUAUUUUAUGUUUAUUUUGUAUAAGUCUUCACAUUUUAAUCUAUUAUGUAUGGCAGUUUGAUACUUUACUGAAACCUUCGAUUCGUCCCUGAUUAGCCAUAGAGAUAUAGAAGAAGAUAGUCAAAUGCGUGAUUACAACGGUAUGGUCUAAACGCAAGAUGAGGAUUGUUUGCUGGUAUUUUUGUGAUAAACCAGCAAAAAAUCAUGUUUAUUAUAUUUUUAACAGUGAAGUACUGGAAUUUAUCCGUUGAAUAAAAGUUGUUAUUUUUACGGUUAUUUUUUUUCAUACUGUGAAAAUAAGAAGUGUUAUUUUCACAUUGUGAAAAUGAUAACCGGGACUAUUUGCCGACAAUAUUUAUCCGUAAUACAAAAGAUCAUUCAUAUUACGUUAUAUGUAUAAUUGAUUUUUAAUGUUUUUUUUUAUUUGAAUGCCCAAAAAUAAUCACUUGGGGGAAUUGCUUGAUCCGCCUACCAAAGCAGAAAAUGUGUCAUGCCUUGCAAAAUGCACCAGAUGAUGUCACGUCAUAUCGAUUGACAUGGAUCUGUGACGCUUAGUUUACUGUGUUGGAUUUCAUUUGGCGACAAUGCUGCAUGCUAUGCUAUAGACGAUACAAAAUUAGGAUAAUGGCAACACGGACCUGAAGAAAUACCAAAGAUCUGACCAGGUGCCAAGGAAAAGUCAGCAUUUACUGAUGACCGUAAUGCACGAAUGUGUCCGACAUCUUGCUCAGGCAAAUGGAGCAAUCCAAAGUCAAAAUCAAUAUGUGAGGAACAGCCUCGAAUUGGUAUGAAACACGUCAGACAAUAUUCGACGCAGUGAUAUCUUGUAAUUGAAAAUUAGAUCAUUAUAAUGACCAAACAACUUGCGGAAUGUUGAUUUUAAACGUGACCGUCGAAACCCCUGUCACAUGAAAAAUGUAUGUAAGUAGUAUGCCUCGAUUUAAACAUUGGUUAUAGAUAGAACAUGCGCUCGCGUAUCGAAUGUGUAUUCUAGCAUAUUUCUAGUUUAUUUAAUGCCUGAAAUUGACUUUACUAAUAUUAAUGCACAUAUAUACUCCUUUGUCGAAGUAUAUUCAGUUAAUCCUUUAAAAAAAAUCAAAGCAAUGGAUGCUGCAAAUGUAACGAGAAUGACUUAGGAUAAACAGAGAUGGAUUGUGUACAACAAAUAAAGCAUUUCUUUAUGACGUAUA